This 157-nucleotide unclassified non-coding RNA is filed under the name soil metagenome. RNAcentral's name for it is "partial internal transcribed spacer 1". The record is from RNAcentral.
UAAUAAGUGUUUUAUGGCACUUUUUAAAUCCAUAUCCACCUUGUGUGCAAUGUCAGUCGAGUCUUCUUUCAGUCGAGAAAAGGAUCGACCAAACAUCAACCUUAUUCUAAUUGAACUCUUUGUCUGAAAAAUAUUAUGAAUAAACUAAUUCAAAAUA